CUGAGUACGACGGAGCACGUGAAAUUCCGUCGGAAUCUGGGAGGACCAUCUCCUAAGGCUAAAUACUCUCUAGUGACCGAUAGUGAACCAGUACCGUGAGGGAAAGGUGAAAAGCACCCCGGAAGGGGAGUGAAAUAGAACCUGAAACCGUGUGCUUACAAGUAGUCAGAGCCCGUUAAUGGGUGAUGGCGUGCCUUUUGUAGAAUGAACCGGCGAGUUACGAUUUGAUGCAAGGUUAAGCAGUAAAUGUGGAGCCGUAGCGAAAGCGAGUCUGAAUAGGGCGUUUAGUAUUUGGUCGUAGACCCGAAACCAGGUGAUCUACCCUUGGUCAGGUUGAAGUUCAGGUAACACUGAAUGGAGGACCGAACCGACUUACGUUGAAAAGUGAGCGGAUGAACUGAGGGUAGCGGAGAAAUUCCAAUCGAACCUGGAGAUAGCUGGUUCUCUCCGAAAUAGCUUUAGGGCUAGCCUCAAGUGAUGAUUAUUGGAGGUAGAGCACUGUUUGGACGAGGGGCCCCUCUCGGGUUACCGAAUUCAGACAAACUCCGAAUGCCAAUUAAUUUAACUUGGGAGUCAGAACAUGGGUGAUAAGGUCCGUGUUCGAAAGGGAAACAGCCCAGACCACCAGCUAAGGUCCCAAAAUAUAUGUUAAGUGGAAAAGGAUGUGGCGUUGCCCAGACAACUAGGAUGUUGGCUUAGAAGCAGCCAUCAUUUAAAGAGUGCGUAAUAGCUCACUAGUCGAGUGACACUGCGCCGAAAAUGUACCGGGGCUAAACAUAUUACCGAAGCUGUGGAUUGUCCUUUGGACAAUGGUAGGAGAGCGUUCUAAGGGCGUUGAAGCAUGAUCGUAAGGACAUGUGGAGCGCUUAGAAGUGAGAAUGCCGGUGUGAGUAGCGAAAGACGGGUGAGAAUCCCGUCCACCGAUUGACUAAGGUUUCCAGAGGAAGGCUCGUCCGCUCUGGGUUAGUCGGGUCCUAAGCUGAGGCCGACAGGCGUAGGCGAUGGAUAACAGGUUGAUAUUCCUGUACCACCUAUA
Molecule: ribosomal RNA, 1036 nt
Filed under: Staphylococcus aureus
Lineage: Bacteria; Bacillati; Bacillota; Bacilli; Caryophanales; Staphylococcaceae
Description: partial 23S ribosomal RNA
Rfam family: Bacterial large subunit ribosomal RNA
Source: RNAcentral